Molecule: ribosomal RNA, 260 nt
Filed under: uncultured bacterium
Lineage: Bacteria
Description: partial 16S ribosomal RNA
Source: RNAcentral
CUGCUGCCUUCCGUAGGAGUCUGGUCCGUGUCUCAGUACCAGUGUGGGGGACCUUCCUCUCAGAACCCCUAGACAUCGUCGCCUUGGUGGGCCGUUGCCCCGCCAACUAGCUAAUGUCACGCAUGCCCAUCCGUUGCCGGAAUCGCUCCCUUUGGCCGCAGGGCCAUGCAGCCCCGCGGCGUUACGCGGUAUUAGACGGGAUUUCUCCCGAUUAUCCCCCCUGCAACGGGCAGGUCGCAUACGCGUUACUCACCCGUGCG